ACACAACUCUCGGCAACGGAUAUCUCGGCUCUCGCAUCGAUGAAGAACGUAGCGAAAUGCGAUACCUGGUGUGAAUUGCAGAAUCCCGCGAACCAUCGAGUCUUUGAACGCAAGUUGCGCCCGAGCCAUUCGGCCGAGGGCACGCCUGCCUGGGCGUCACGC
RNAcentral lists this ribosomal RNA (162 nucleotides) under Avena insularis. RNAcentral's name for it is "5.8S ribosomal RNA". It matches the Rfam family "5.8S ribosomal RNA". Rfam says of the family: 5.8S ribosomal RNA (5.8S rRNA) is a component of the large subunit of the eukaryotic ribosome. It is transcribed by RNA polymerase I as part of the 45S precursor that also contains 18S and 28S rRNA. Functionally, it is thought that 5.8S rRNA may be involved in ribosome translocation. The record is from RNAcentral. Lineage: Eukaryota; Viridiplantae; Streptophyta; Magnoliopsida; Poales; Poaceae.